AUGACGGCAACAUCUACGUCGGCACAAUCAGGAACAUGAUCCUGGAGGGGUCCAUGAUGCGUCGCUUCAACACGGUGGUGUUCGGCCACAGUAAACAGCUGUCGGGCCUGGCCACCUGCAACGAGGAGGUGUCGUUUGUCACCGCGGGAAGCGACAGGGUGGUGGCCAAGUGGUCGGCGCAGCGUAAGCUUAUAUGGAAGUCGCCGGUGAGCAGCGAGGCGGUGUCGUGCAGCGUCCACCCGCUGGACACGGUCGUGGCCGUGGG
Long non-coding RNA from Pollicipes pollicipes, 265 nucleotides. RefSeq lists it as uncharacterized. The transcript has 3 exons. The record is from RefSeq and is a predicted model, not a curated record. Lineage: Eukaryota; Metazoa; Arthropoda; Thecostraca; Pollicipedomorpha; Pollicipedidae.